RNAcentral lists this transfer RNA (57 nucleotides) under Mesocricetus auratus (golden hamster). It matches the Rfam family "tRNA", at positions 8 to 63 of the family's 71-position model. Rfam says of the family: Transfer RNA (tRNA) molecules are approximately 80 nucleotides in length. Their secondary structure includes four short double-helical elements and three loops (D, anti-codon, and T loops). Lineage: Eukaryota; Metazoa; Chordata; Mammalia; Rodentia; Cricetidae. The record is from Rfam by way of RNAcentral.
UAGCUCAGUGGCAGAGCACUUACCUAGCAUGCAUGAUGUUCUAGGUUCAACUCCUAG